UUGUUUUGUUUUCUCUGUCUCUUAAGCCUGUUUUGAUUUCUUCUUCCUUCAUCGCUUCCAGCCUGUGUGGCACUGCCCAUGGGGUUAGUUCAGCCUUGUUAACUGGUUCUGACCUUUUAAGGUAUUUAUGGUUCCAGCUCCAUUGCUUUCUAUGGAGUAAAGACCCGGCUGCGUCUAGAAUUCAAAAGGAAUGUGGAUGAAGGCAGUUACAUCGACUGAUACUUAUCCAGUACAUGUCUAAUAAGUCGUGACUUCCUAGGCUCCGAAAAUACAAUACAGUUUCUCUGUGUAUUCCUGUCUGUCUGUCCUGGAACCCACCCUGUAGACUUCGAACUCAAAAGAUUUGCCUGCCUCUGCCUUCUGAGCACUGGGAUUAGAUCCAUGUGCCACCACCACCACCUGGCAGGGUAAUGAAUCUUCUUAACACUAAACUAUGAAAUCCCUGUGCACAGAAUACAGAAUAAAAGAAAAGAAUUGAGGAUA
This is a long non-coding RNA of Rattus rattus (black rat), 483 nucleotides long. RefSeq lists it as uncharacterized. NCBI's taxonomy places the organism in Eukaryota, Metazoa, Chordata, Mammalia, Rodentia, Muridae. The record is from RefSeq and is a predicted model, not a curated record. The transcript has 2 exons.